RNAcentral lists this transfer-messenger RNA (401 nucleotides) under Flavobacteriaceae. RNAcentral describes it as "Altibacter sp019913785 Standard tmRNA". It matches the Rfam family "transfer-messenger RNA". Rfam says of the family: Bacterial tmRNA, also known as 10Sa RNA or SsrA, is named for its dual tRNA and mRNA-like properties. Its role is to liberate the mRNA from a stalled ribosome. RNAcentral also lists the same sequence under 1 other name. The record is from RNAcentral. Lineage: Bacteria; Pseudomonadati; Bacteroidota; Flavobacteriia; Flavobacteriales.
GGGGCCGACUGGUUUUGACAGCGGGUCUAAUGGUACUGUAAGCAUGUCGAGCGCUGGAACACAGCUCGUAAAUCUCAUGAUUCACACUUUUUAAACGGCGAGAAUAACUACGCCCUAGCUGCAUAAUCCGAAUUACAGUAGGAUAAUGCCUCGGUCCGCAAGGCGGACAAGCAGGAAGUCACUCAAACACCUUGGUUUGCGGUUUUUGAUAUAGUGACUUCGUAAAAGUAAACCUAGCUUGUGUAGGGCUUUGAUACACUUGCGAAACCCAAAUUGAAGCUAAGGGGUGCGUUGGUAGUUUUCGACCGGCAAAUCCACGAAAACCGAAAUGAAAACUAAACAUGUAGAAAGUAGUAUUGUUACGCGUUUGGACGAGGGUUCGACUCCCUCCGGCUCCACUU